GGCGAUCCUCGGGAAUCAAGCUCUGCGGACGCGGGUGUCACCUAUGAGAACAAUUAACCCAAUGUGGAAUGAGGAUUUGUUGUUCGUGGCUGCCGAGCCUUUUGAAGAGCACCUGGUGCUCAGUGUUGAAGAUAGAGUCGCCCCUAACAAGGAUGAGGUUCUGGGUCGGGCGGUCGUUCCGUUGCAGAACGUCGGCAGGAGGCUCGACUACAAGCCAGUGAAC
This 223-nucleotide unclassified non-coding RNA is filed under the name Hevea brasiliensis (rubber tree). The record is from RNAcentral. Lineage: Eukaryota; Viridiplantae; Streptophyta; Magnoliopsida; Malpighiales; Euphorbiaceae.